CCCUUAGAUGUCCUGGGCCGCACGCGUGCUACACUGACGCCUACAGCGAGUACUUCCCAGCCCCGAGAGGUGGCUGGUAAUCAGCAAUAGGCGUCGUGAUGGGGAUAGAUCUUUGGAAUUAUGGAUCUUGAACGAGGAAUGCCUAGUAAGCGCAGGUCAUUAGCCUGCGUUGAUUAAGUCCCUGCCCUUUGUACACACCGCCCGUCGCUCCUACCGAUUUCGAGUGGUCCGGUGAAUCUUUCGGACUGCGCGCGGCUUCGUGCCGUGUCGCGGAAAGUCAGGUAAACCUUNUNACUUAUNGGAAGGAGAANUCGUANCA
This 319-nucleotide ribosomal RNA is filed under the name uncultured eukaryote. Its description in RNAcentral is "partial 18S ribosomal RNA". It matches the Rfam family "Eukaryotic small subunit ribosomal RNA", at positions 1470 to 1796 of the family's 1831-position model. The record is from RNAcentral.